This is a long non-coding RNA of Dioscorea cayenensis subsp. rotundata (Guinea yam), 2959 nucleotides long. RefSeq lists it as uncharacterized. The record is from RefSeq and is a predicted model, not a curated record. Lineage: Eukaryota; Viridiplantae; Streptophyta; Magnoliopsida; Dioscoreales; Dioscoreaceae. The transcript has 3 exons.
AUCGCAUAAAUUCCAAGUCUUUGGUAAUAUUUAAAUUGGAUUAUUCGUGCUUCUCUCCAAGAUGGCCUAAACUGGUUUUCCCCAACUACAAUCUCCCAAGGAAAGCAUUGUUGAAGAUCUUGAGAUUAAGUAUACCCCCAAUCAUUUUGUUCUAAAAGUCUACGCAGUCGCACCCAAUUUACCAAUCAACAUUUGGGCCUAUCGAUAUCUGAUAUCUAUGUCUAACCUAUGUGGGAAGUUUAAAAGUAGACAUCCAAAAAGUUGGAAUGUAGGUUAGAAUGGAGUUAAUUAGAAUAAAUAUGGCACCAAAAAAGUUGGAAUCGAAAGAAAGAGCUACUACUAGCAAAAAUAAUUAUAAUUAUUCAAAAAUAUUGGUGUUUGCAAAAGACCUUUGGUCUAGCAGCACUGACUUCACCGUGUAAGGUAUCACAUGCAGGAAGCUCAAUGCACGGGAUGUAAACAUGUCGACUGGGAUGGUACCUAUCAUGCCUCGAACUUGAGACUUAGUAAAAUUUUGAAUUUAUUAGAUUUGUAUCCUUAGAGAUAUGCUCCUUUUAAUAGGUCUAUCUCAGAUGUUUCUGUUGUGCAGGACAUAAAGAGUGAAUGGAGAGUUCGGGGUGUGACCAUACCAUAGGGUAGGUACCCUAUGCAAAAUUGAGACUUAAGCUCCUGUCGCACAGGGUGAGGAGACCUGAUAUCUUAAUGCUUGUGUAUACUCCUUGAAUAGGAUAGUCCAAUGUCUAUCACUUGUCCACCUAUUAAAAAAAUAAUAAUAAUAUUGGGGUUUUCCGCAAAAACUACUUGAACUUUAGCACCCUCAUAGUAAUUUAAAUUAAGUAUAGGGUGUUGUCGCAAAAGUGCCACGGAUUGUGAUUUUCACAGAAACACCCUCAAAGACAUAACUAUUAUUAUCCAAGACUAUUGGAGUUUCCUUCAAAAACGUCUCGGGCCGGGUUAAUUGGUAAUUUUGGAGGAACACCCUAAAAAAUAUAAAUAUUACUAUUCAAAACUAUUGCAAUUAUGUGGUUAGCUGGUCCAUCAAAAUCGAACACCCAAUUAUUAUCCAUCAAAGGACACAAAACUUCUUGUUUUUAUCCGCACUUGUUUUUACUCUGUUCCCUGAUAUUUUUUUCUUAUUCUCUUGAAUGCAUAAGCGCCUCUCUUUAGUCUUCAUGAUUUCACCCUGACAUUGACUUGUCAACGGCUCCAUAUGAGGUGGAGCCCAACCCAACGUUAUAUAACCACAGAUACUAGGCUCAUGCAUGAUCACCUUCAAUUACACCGCCACCGCCACCGGCAUAUCAUAUCAUCACCAUUAAUUAUCCAGAGAUGGAAAUGUAGCUGCAUCAUCAUUGGAGAAGAAUACUGUAAGCCGGAGCUGGUGGAAUUGGCUUUCAGUACAACAAUCAACGGAGUGAAGAACAAAGAGCUUGCAAUCACUGGCCUUGAUGGCAAAGAUGUCUUCUGGGUUUCUAGUGAUGUGGUUAUCAAGAAGUGGUUCAUAUUGUUAGUGAUAAAUGUGAGCUGAGUCACUUCAAUACUUGGCAUCUCAACGACAAAGCUCUAAAGAAAGUGGCUGAGUGCGAUGAUGUAGCUGCAAGAGCUAUACUUGUUAGCUCGGCUUGAAACAAGAGAGGAAGUCAACCUGUAUACAGUGUCUAUGUAUGUGAAUGAAGAAAAAAAGGAACGUCUCAACUGUUCUGGUUAUCUUAGCUUUUUAAAGUUUGUCUGAUUGCCUUUGUUAUGUGUGCAAUUUUUGUUAUAAAUAUCUAUGUAGUCUUUUUUUUUUGACAGGAGGAACAGACAGUCCGAAGGCCUUGCUAAAUCGUCAGGAGCGUGCACAAAUUUUGAUAGAGCAAAUGGGGCCGGGCCCGUGCACAUAUGAGCGCUGAGACCACCGCAUACAACCACCGCUUACAUCUCCCAGAAUUGUGCCCUCAACCGAGAAUCGAACUCUCACCACUCGAUGAAGAGCUUUAUCAGCGACUUGUAUACCAAUAGACCAUUUAGUCUUUGUAAUAGCAAGUAAAGCAAGUUGAAGUCGAAUUAAGUUCUUACAUCAUUUGCUUUUCACUCUACUCUCUGAUUGCUCUUCUCACUUAAAAUACCAACCUAAAAACCUCAAUACAUAUUAGAUGCAGCCACUGGGCUCCCCCUUCUUUCCAUUAUGAAAAAGUCAUGGAGCCUUCAUAACCGUUGGCAAGCAUUCCAAGGAGAGGACACGGAUGAAAAGAAUCACUUAUUUAUAGUCAAAAAAAGUUCAAAUCUCAAAAUUCAUAAAGAGUGAGACGUGUUUCUUGCUGCCAACACUGAGGAAGUAGAAUGGGAUUUCAAGAUCAUAUAUAGGAGAAAUCAGCUAGAGAUCAAUCAUAGUGUUUCAUAAGCAAAAUCCAACUACUGCAAUAGCUGAGUAAAUGUGUGUAGAUGAGCCAGGAUCAGAAGGUGGUGAAGGUGAGACUAGAUAAGGAUGCAUUAAGGGUGACUAUCAGUCCAAAGAUUCCAAACAUAGACUCUGUCUUCAUUACCUCAUUGAUUAGUAUGCUUCAUCAAGUCCAACAAAAACGAGAUGCGCACAAAAAAUUGUUGGGUAUGUGGAGCCUGAUUGUGUGACACCCCAGGAGGUGCGAGAGAGCAUCGGUUUAGGUUGGAGGUGCGGGGAGAACGCCCCGCAGUAGGAUACAAGGGUAAUUUGUAUAUGGUUAGGAUUAUAGUUUGAUAAUCUUGUAAAUUGUACCCAGAUAGGAUUUAUAUCCAGAUAGGUUUAGGAUCUGGAUAAGUUUACGAUCCAGAUAGGGUUAGGAUCCAGAUAUGAUUUACCCUCUUCCAGAUAUGCCUCAGAGUUCUAAUCCUGAUGCCUCAAAGCUCUAAUCCAGAUAUACCUCAGAUUUCUUCUAUAUAUAGGCAGUCCCUUGUAAGAUGUAUGUGUGCUUCAGAUAUUGAAAUAAAACCCUAGUGUGAC